CUACUGUCUAUUUUUUUUCCUUCCCCAUAAGCCUAAGGUGUGGGGAAGGCUCCCUCUCUGGAGGAGCAGGUCGGAAGACCUCGGUGCAAAAGCAGGGACCCCCUGGCUGACCCUGUUCUCCCUCUGCAAAAUAAAGGAACCCCACCGGUGCAGAACCGUGCCACUGCACCCAUAAGACAGCCCGAGGCUCCUGGCAGACCCUACUGGGAAUUACACAGCAAGAUGGCUUUCCCUACUCCAUCGUGGCUAGAGCCUCUGCAAGGGCUGAAGCCCUUUGAUCUUGGCUUCAUUUGGAUACAUUUCAAGGGCCUUACUGGCUUUGGGCAAGUGCUGAAGUUCACUCAUUUUCUAUUGGUUGUUUCUCCCCAUGAAAGACAUUGAACAUAAGUGGUGUGGAAUAAUGUUAAGCUUCUCUGAUGGGUCCUAAAUGGUUGAAGAACACCCCUCAAGAGAUGGGAAGAUUCUAAGAGCCAGAGAGAAUGGAUUACUCCAAGGCAACACAAUGGGACUGAUGACCACAUGAACUCUUAGAGACUGUAGCAGCUUGCACCAGGCCUGU
RNAcentral lists this long non-coding RNA (559 nucleotides) under Mus musculus (house mouse). Its description in RNAcentral is "RIKEN cDNA 9030622O22 gene". The record is from RNAcentral. Lineage: Eukaryota; Metazoa; Chordata; Mammalia; Rodentia; Muridae.